This 460-nucleotide ribosomal RNA is filed under the name uncultured bacterium. Its description in RNAcentral is "partial 16S ribosomal RNA". It matches the Rfam family "Bacterial small subunit ribosomal RNA", at positions 338 to 795 of the family's 1533-position model. The record is from RNAcentral.
CCUACGGGCGGCAGCAGUGAGGAAUAUUGGUCAAUGGGCGCGAGCCUGAACCAGCCAAGUAGCGUGAAGGAUGACUGCCCUACGGGUUGUAAACCUCUUUUAUCAAGGAAUAAAGUGAGGCACGUGUCCCUUUUUGUAUGUACCUUAUGAAUAAGGAUCGGCUAACUCCGUGCCAGCAGCCGCGGUAAUACGGAGGAUCCGAGCGUUAUCCGGAUUUAUUGGGUUUAAAGGGUGCGUAGGUGGGUUGUUAAGUCAGUGGUGAAAGUUUGCGGCGCAACCGUAAAAUUGCAAUUGAAACUGGCAGUCUUGAGUACAGUUGAGGUAGGCGGAAUGCGUGGUGUAGCGGUGAAAUGCUUAGAUAUCACGAAGAACUCCGAUUGCGAAGGCAGCGUACCGGCGCCAGACUGACGCUGAGGCACGAAAGCGUGGGUAUCGAACAGGAUUAGAUACCCCAGUAGUC